CCCUUAGAUGUUCUGGGCCGCACACGCGCUACACUGAAGGAGGCAGCGUGUACUCCUGGAUCGAAAGAUUUGGGUAACCCGCGAAUCUCCUUCGUGCUAGGGAUUGAGGUUUGCAAUUAUCCUUCAUGAACGAGGAAUUCCCAGUAAGUGCAAGUCAUAAGCUUGCGCUGACUACGUCCCUGCCCUUUGUACACACCGCCCGUCGCUACUACCGAUUGAAUGAUUUAGUGAGGACUUCGGACUGGGACCGAUGCGGCUUUCGGGCUGCGUCGGUAUUCUGGAAAGAUGUCCAAACAGUAUCAUUUAGAGGAAGUAAAAGUCGUAACA
RNAcentral lists this ribosomal RNA (327 nucleotides) under uncultured eukaryote. Its description in RNAcentral is "partial 18S ribosomal RNA". It matches the Rfam family "Eukaryotic small subunit ribosomal RNA", at positions 1470 to 1796 of the family's 1831-position model. The record is from RNAcentral.